RNAcentral lists this ribosomal RNA (998 nucleotides) under uncultured Actinomycetes bacterium. RNAcentral's name for it is "bacterial SSU rRNA". It matches the Rfam family "Bacterial small subunit ribosomal RNA", at positions 509 to 1504 of the family's 1533-position model. The record is from RNAcentral. Lineage: Bacteria; Bacillati; Actinomycetota; Actinomycetes.
CAGCAGCCGCGGUAAUACGUAGGGAGCAAGCGUUGUCCGGAUUUAUUGGGCGUAAAGGGCUCGUAGGUGGUUCGGUAAGUCGGAUGUGAAAAAUCUGGGCUCAACCCAGUCAAGCAUCCGAUACUGCUGUGACUAGAGUUCGGUAGAGGAGUGUGGAAUUCCUGGUGUAGCGGUGGAAUGCGCAGAUAUCAGGAGGAACACCAACAGCGAAGACAGCACUCUGGGCCGAUACUGACGCUGAGGAGCGAAAGCAUGGGGAGCAAACAGGAUUAGAUACCCUGGUAGUCCAUGCCGUAAACGUUGGGCACUAGGUGUGGGAGGGAUUCAACCCUUUCCGCGCCGUAGCUAACGCAUUAAGUGCCCCGCCUGGGGAGUACGGCCGCAAGGCUAAAACUCAAAGGAAUUGACGGGGGCCCGCACAAGCGGCGGAGCAUGUUGCUUAAUUCGAGGCAACGCGAAGAACCUUACCUGGGUUUGACAUGUACCGAAAAGCCAUAGAGAUAUGGUGUCCUUAGGGGCGGUACACAGGUGGUGCAUGGUUGUCGUCAGCUCGUGUCGUGAGAUGUUGGGUUAAGUCCCGCAACGAGCGCAACCCUUAUCCUAUGUUGCCAGCGCGUAAUGGCGGGGACUCGUGGGAGACUGCCGGGGUUAACUCGGAGGAAGGUGGGGACGACGUCAAAUCAUCAUGCCCCUUAUGUCCAGGGCUGCAAACAUGGUACAAUGGCCGGUACAACGGGCAGCGAAACCGCGAGGUUAAGCGAAUCCCUUAAAGCCGGUCUCAGUUCGGAUUGAAGUCUGCAACUCGACUUCAUGAAGCUGGAGUCGCUAGUAAUCCCGGAUCAGCAACGCCGGGGUGAAUACGUUCCCGGGCCUUGUACACACCGCCCGUCACACCACGAAAGUUGGCAACACCCGAAGUCAGUGGCCUAACCCUUUUGGGAGGGAGCUGCCGAAGGUGGGGUUAGCGAUUGGGGUGAAGUCGUAACAAGGUAGCCGUA